AAGUCAACGGCGGCGGCGGUUACUUCAGGUUGGAGUCGACGGUGAGCUACGGAGAUUGAAAAAUUAAACGGAGCGCGUCACAAAGUCAGCAAGGAUGAAGGGAAAAAGGAGAGGUAGGUAGUCGCGAUUUUGUCUCACCGGGUCGGUGGCGGCGGCCAAAACAACAGCAGUGGCAGUGGCUUCUCCGGCAAGCUUUUUGGCCGGCCUGGUGGCGUGGAAACGGUCGAGCGAGAGAGGGGAAAGGAUGCGGGGGCGAGGUGCUUUAAAGUGACGCAGAUAGCUUCAGGUAUGGUGGAGUGGGCAAGGAUAAAUCGGACGUGGGGAUCGUGGACGCGCGCUCGGGUUCGUGCCGGAGAAAAAGGGGUGGUCGUUGGAGGUUGAAGAUGAGCCCGACCGGUGGGUCCCACCUGUUGGUGGCAGCGGCGGCGCACGGGCUGUGGAGAUGGGCCGCGGCGCUCGGGUAAGUGGGCCGGCCCGAUUGGAGUUGGUACGUUACCCCCUUUUUUUUCUUUUCUUUUUCUUAUUUUCUGUUUUUGAUUCUAACUUUUGAUUUAAAGCUUCAAAUCGAGUCAAAUAAAAUGCAAAAAAAAUUGUAAAAUCAUAUCUUCAUAUGAUUCAACUUUUGGGACAAGAAUUCCCUCAAAAUAAAAUAUUUAAAAAUACUUUUGCCCGUAAACUAACCUUUAGGGCUUUUUAGCUAUUAAAAUAUUUAGUGUUUCAAAUCAAAUUCAAAAACCAAGAUAUGGGGUAGCUUUAUAAAUGCAUUAAACCCCUUUUUAUGCCAAAACCCUCUUGGGUUAAAAUGCAAUUAACCAAAAGCAAGAAAAGAGCCAGAUUCAAAUAAAAGCACUUUUGUUAAAGGGUUUUUCUGAGCUAAACUUUAGGGU
This 887-nucleotide long non-coding RNA is filed under the name Brachypodium distachyon (stiff brome). Its description in RNAcentral is "long non-coding RNA (BDIS_LNC002211)". Lineage: Eukaryota; Viridiplantae; Streptophyta; Magnoliopsida; Poales; Poaceae. The record is from RNAcentral.